AAUCAUUAGUUUUUUAAUUGAAAGCUUGUAUGAAAGGUUGGACGAAGUAAAUUCUGUCUCUAUUUAAUUUAAUUUAGAAAUUAAUUUUUAAGUUAAAAAGCUUAAAUAUUUUUAAAAGACGAGAAGACCCUAUAGAUUUUUAUAUUAAAUUUAAUAAAUUUAAUAUAGAUUUAUUAAUUUUUUAUUAAAUUUUUUAUUUUAUUGGGGUAAUAGAGAGAUUAAUUGAAUUCUUUUUAAAAUUUUUCAUUAAUUUAUGUUUAAGUGAUCCAAUUUUAUUGAUUAUAAGAUUAAAUUACCUUAGGGAUAACAGCGUAAUUUUUUUAGAGAGUUCAUAUCGAUAAAAAAGUUUGCGACCUCGAUGUUGGAUUAAAAAUUAUCUUAGGUGCAGAAUUUUAAGAUUUGGGUCUGUUCGACCAUUAAAUUUUU
Molecule: ribosomal RNA, 426 nt
Filed under: Platambus pictipennis
Lineage: Eukaryota; Metazoa; Arthropoda; Insecta; Coleoptera; Dytiscidae
Description: partial 16S ribosomal RNA
Rfam family: Bacterial large subunit ribosomal RNA (bases 303-426)
Source: RNAcentral